AUCAGGGUCACGCUUGCAGGGCAACGAGAGGCAAAACAAGAGGGAAGACGACUUUCCUCCUGUGAGCCAAUGAGGCCAGCUGGGCUACCCCGAGACAACUGGGAGAGGCGCGGGACUCGCCCGUUCCGCGGAACGCCGGGAAGGGGUCACCUCCUGAUGAAGUUUCCGGUUCCGGUGUCAGCGGCGGUUGAAUUGCCAUGGCAACGCGGUGGGCGCGCGCUUGUCGUGUUGGUCUCUUGGGAGGUAGCGGGGCUAGGCCGGGCGGGUAUCCGCCUCUCCCAGCUUAGGUGAGCGUCCCCGGGCGCCUCCGGAGCGCCGCGGCCGCAUGCAGUUCGUCGUGGCGGGGAGCCGGAGCCUGACCGGGGUUCCAACGCUCGGGCCGUAGCCUUGGCUCCUGGACUUUCCCUGGCUCCGCCGCCACGUGGGGAGCUGAGGCUCUGGGGCUUCCGCCUCCGGCGCGCGAUUAUUUCUCUAGAACAGUUUUCAUUUUUAAAAUUUGUAAAGCGCUUUUGCCUGUGUGAUUUCCUCUGGGUUUUUUUUUUCUUCCUUUUUGUAGAGACGGAAUUGGCGGCGGGGGGCGGUGGGUGGGUGGGGGCGAUGUCUCACUUUGUUGCCCAGGCUGGUCUCGAACUCCUGGCUUCAAGGGAUCCUCCUGCCUCGGCCUCUUAAAGUGCUGGGAUUACAGGCGUGAGCCACCACCCCCGGCCGCCUCUGAGUUUCCAGCCUCGUUGGCCCUCCAGCCUUUUAACCUGUUGAGCCUAGGAUCAGGAAAGAUUCAUUGAUUCCAGGUAAAUCAGAGGAACAAGCAACAUGAACAGAAAUAUGUAGAAAAUGCUAUUAUGCAGAAGCAUAAUUGUUGUUUCAGAAGUCCAGCAUCUGGUGCACUUAGCAAUAGAGAAUAUAUUAAAGUCUUUCCAAAAUAACCUGUUGUUCCUACCUGUGUUGUAAGUGUUUUGUUUGUUUUUAAGUAAAUAUUGGUGAUUUGUUGCCAAAAACCUAAACUGUUUAUUGCUGUCAACUUAAAUAACGAACAGAGAGAGGCUCUCUCAAAGAAAAUGGCAUUUAUUCAGGAAUAGAGCAUUGCAAUGAGAAAAUGCAUGUGAUAGUUAACUGUGUGUAUCCUGGGAGAUAGAGGAAGACAAAGGUCUUUAAAGGAAAAAUGAGGAGGGUUACAUAAUUGUUUUGAGAUAAUUAUUUUUGACUACAAGGAUCAGUAACAAAGGUGACACCAGUCCCAGGUUGGACAGGCAGGUGCUCGGCAGGCAUUGCAGAAGUAUUUUUUGUGUAAGAUUGAGAUGGCCUUUGUGCAGGAUUGUGGUUUUGGAAUCUUCUGUGAUCGUUUUUGCUAUCAGGCAUUUAUGCUUGCGAACUCUUUAUGGCCUUCCCUGUGUCUAUUUUGAUUCCAUCUUUCUCAUUGCCCACUCUAAACUGUCUAAUUCUGCUUUUAUGUUGACUGAGAUCGGGAGAAGAAUUUGCAAACUUAUAUCCUGAGACAGAACAGUAAUAAGGAGUAUCGUGUUCCUUACCUAAUGUAUAAUAU
This 1540-nucleotide non-coding RNA is filed under the name Pan troglodytes (chimpanzee). The record is from RNAcentral. Lineage: Eukaryota; Metazoa; Chordata; Mammalia; Primates; Hominidae.